This 422-nucleotide ribosomal RNA is filed under the name uncultured bacterium. Its description in RNAcentral is "bacterial SSU rRNA". It matches the Rfam family "Bacterial small subunit ribosomal RNA", at positions 355 to 774 of the family's 1533-position model. The record is from RNAcentral.
UAAGGAAUAUUGGUCAAUGGACGCAAGUCUGAACCAGCCAUGCCGCGUGGAGGAUUAAGGCCCUCUUGGUUGUAAACUCCUUUUAUCUGGGAAGAAAUGUACUUUUUCUUGAGUACUUGACGGUACCAGAGGAAUAAGCACCGGCUAACUCCGUGCCAGCAGCCGCGGUAAUACGGAGGGUGCAAGCGUUAUCCGGAUUCACUGGGUUUAAAGGGUGCGUAGGUGGGCAGGUAAGUCAGUGGUGAAAUCUCCGGGCUUAACCCGGAAACUGCCGUUGAUACUAUUUGUCUUGAAUAUUGUGGAGGUAAGCGGAAUAUGUCAUGUAGCGGUGAAAUGCUUAGAUAUGACAUAGAACACCAAUUGCGAAGGCAGCUUACUACACAAUCAUUGACGCUGAGGCACGAAAGCGUGGGGAUCAAACA